This 72-nucleotide transfer RNA is filed under the name Mus musculus (house mouse). Its description in RNAcentral is "tRNA-Asn". Lineage: Eukaryota; Metazoa; Chordata; Mammalia; Rodentia; Muridae. The record is from RNAcentral.
GGUGAGAUGGCUCAGUGGGUAAGAGCACCUGACUGUUCUUCCGGAGGUCGAGAGUUCAAAUCCCAGCAACCA